GUGACUAUAACUCAGAUGGUAGAGUUCUGGAUUGUGAUUCCAGAUGUCAUGGGUUCGAUCCCCAUUAGUCACCCA
Molecule: transfer RNA, 75 nt
Filed under: Buchnera aphidicola (Stegophylla sp.)
Lineage: Bacteria; Pseudomonadati; Pseudomonadota; Gammaproteobacteria; Enterobacterales; Erwiniaceae
Description: tRNA-His
Rfam family: tRNA
About the family: Transfer RNA (tRNA) molecules are approximately 80 nucleotides in length.
Source: RNAcentral